Molecule: transfer RNA, 75 nt
Filed under: Tephrocybe rancida
Lineage: Eukaryota; Fungi; Basidiomycota; Agaricomycetes; Agaricales; Lyophyllaceae
Description: tRNA-Pro
Source: RNAcentral
ACGGUGGAUGACAAAUUGGCCAGUCGCUCCUUUUGGGUAGGAGAAAUGUUGUGAGUUCGAAUCUCACCCUCCGUG